Molecule: long non-coding RNA, 395 nt
Organism: Oncorhynchus keta (chum salmon)
Lineage: Eukaryota; Metazoa; Chordata; Actinopteri; Salmoniformes; Salmonidae
Exons: 2
Source: RefSeq, a predicted model, not a curated record
ACCUCUUUCUCCCCUCUCUCUCCAGAUGAAAUCUCGCGUCUUGUGACGGCCGGCCGCCCAACAACCUGCCCGCUUGACCCUAUCCCCUCCUCUCUUCUCCAGACCAUUUCCGGAGACCUUCUCCCUUACCUCACCUCGCUCAUCAACUCAUCCCUGACCGCUGGCUACGUCCCUCCCGUCUUCAAGAGAGCGAGAGUUGCACCCCUUCUGAAAAAACCUACACUCGAUCCCUCCGAUGUCAACAACUACAGACCAACCUAUCGGCUGCCUUCGAUACUGUGAACCAUCAGAUCCUCCUCUCCACCCUCUCCGAGUUGGGCAUCUCCGGCGCGGCCCACGCUUGGAUUGCGUCCUACCUGACAGGUCGCUCCUACCAGGUGGCGUGGCGAGAAUCC